UAAACGACUCUCGGCAACGGAUAUCUCGGCUCUCGCAUCGAUGAAGAACGUAGCGAAAUGCGAUACUUGGUGUGAAUUGCAGAAUCCCGUGAACCAUCGAGUCUNNGAACGCAAGUUGCGCCCGAAGCCAUUAGGCCGAGGGCACGUCUGCCUGGGCGUCACAC
Molecule: ribosomal RNA, 164 nt
Filed under: Cliffortia odorata x Cliffortia theodori-friesii
Lineage: Eukaryota; Viridiplantae; Streptophyta; Magnoliopsida; Rosales; Rosaceae
Description: 5.8S ribosomal RNA
Rfam family: 5.8S ribosomal RNA
About the family: 5.8S ribosomal RNA (5.8S rRNA) is a component of the large subunit of the eukaryotic ribosome. It is transcribed by RNA polymerase I as part of the 45S precursor that also contains 18S and 28S rRNA.
Source: RNAcentral